Molecule: long non-coding RNA, 338 nt
Organism: Daucus carota subsp. sativus
Lineage: Eukaryota; Viridiplantae; Streptophyta; Magnoliopsida; Apiales; Apiaceae
Exons: 3
Source: RefSeq, a predicted model, not a curated record
CCGAGUGAGUCAGUGACAGUGAGAAAAAGAUGUUUGAUAAAUUUUGAAAUGAAAUGUUUAGAACUCAAAAGGGAAUUGAAAAUGAAUAUUCUUUGUUAAGCUUUCAAAGGGAAUUUUCAGUCCCAUGCCCGCUUCAACGCUAAUUGAGAUCGAUUUUCAUGGUCGUUUCUGUUGAAGAAGCCAUUGCAGCUCUCCAUAAUCAAGAAAUCAUCAGGAAUGGAAACAAUUUCAAUGCCAUUGACAAAGACGUACGAGUUUGGAGAAGCUGUAAAAGUCACCUCCAGCACACGGCUUCGAUUGACUGUGAUGACAUAUUCUUUAACCAGAGUGAGUAUUCC